Molecule: long non-coding RNA, 1090 nt
Organism: Oncorhynchus tshawytscha (Chinook salmon)
Lineage: Eukaryota; Metazoa; Chordata; Actinopteri; Salmoniformes; Salmonidae
Source: Ensembl
CGCUCUGCUCGGGUGAUGUCUUUGUUCCAAGAUUGAUUAAACGACUCGUGUGUUUCUCUUCGUCCUGAGAAUUGCUGUGAAGCUAGAUAACAUGCUAACGCUGUGUUCUGAACAUAGUUUGACAAGUUUAGUCGACAUUUAAUAUGUAAUUUCGACGUUUUGGUGCGCACCCACUUGACUUUUUGGCUGCAUUUCAACCGAAAUGUGUCGUGUUUGAUCACCGAAAGACACAGACUUCCAAACUAAAGCUGUUUUUGUGUACUACAAUCCUUGACCAGGACGUUCAGAGUGUGGCUGAACCCUAACCAGUACCAGUAGGACAUGACCGACAGCAUCCAGAACGGCACUGAGGACCCCUAUGAGUCCUUCAACAUCAUAAUGAGACUCAAACCCAAGGAGAACAACUUCAAGAACAGCCUCAAUUCAUCAGGGCGUGGACUCUACAAGUUCCACAAGGCUGACUCCAUUGCUUCCCACAGUUGUCAUGUUGGCUGGAUGUCCCUUGGUUGGUGGACCAUUCUUGAUACACAUGGGAAACUGUUGAGAAUGGAAAACCCCCUGCAGCAUUCUUGACACACUCAAACCAGUGCACCUGGCACCUACUACUACACCCCGUUCAAAGGCACUUCAAUCUUUUGUUUUGCCCAUUCACCCUCUGAAUGGCACACACACACAAUCCAUGUCUCAAUUGUCUCAAGGCUUAAAAAUCCUGCUUUAACCUGUCUCCUCCCCUUCAUCUACACUGAUUGAAGUGGAUUUAACAGGUUACAUCAGUAAGGGAUCAUAGCUUUCACCUUGUCAGUCUGUCAUGGAAAAAGCAGGUUUUUCCUAAUGUUUUGUACAUUUGCUCUAUGUGAAAUAUCCAUAUCGCAAGAGAUCCAUUAUUUUUGCGAUAUUUUAAAACAUGUGUAACGUCCGUUUUCAUAGUUUAUUCCUCUUGCCGUCUCUCUGCCUUUCUCCUACAGGCUGCUUCCCAAUGCACACCAAGUCCCGCCCCCUGUCACUCAUUCAAGCAUGGCAGCGGUUAUCACUGUAAAUUCACUCUGCAUACAAUACAUGUACAGUCAACUGUAAACAAGAACGAUUCUAC